UGGGGAAUAUUGCACAAUGGGCGCAAGCCUGAUGCAGCCAUGCCGCGUGUGUGAAGAAGGCCUUCGGGUUGUAAAGCACUUUCAGCGAGGAGGAAGGUGGUGAGCUUAAUACGCUCAUCAAUUGACGUUACUCGCAGAAGAAGCACCGGCUAACUCCGUGCCAGCAGCCGCGGUAAUACGGAGGGUGCAAGCGUUAAUCGGAAUUACUGGGCGUAAAGCGCACGCAGGCGGUUUGUUAAGUCAGAUGUGAAAUCCCCGGGCUCAACCUGGGAACUGCAUUUGAAACUGGCAAGCUAGAGUCUCGUAGAGGGGGGUAGAAUUCCAGGUGUAGCGGUGAAAUGCGUAGAGAUCUGGAGGAAUACCGGUGGCGAAGGCGGCCCCCCUGGACGAAGACUGACGCUCAGGUGCGAAAGCGUGGGGCAGCAAACAGGAUUAGAUACCCUGGUAGUCCAGCGCUGUAAACGAUGUCGAUUUGGAGGUUGUGCCCUUGAGGCGUGGCUUCCGGAGCUAACGCGUUAAAUCGACCG
This 527-nucleotide ribosomal RNA is filed under the name uncultured bacterium. RNAcentral's name for it is "partial 16S ribosomal RNA". It matches the Rfam family "Bacterial small subunit ribosomal RNA", at positions 355 to 871 of the family's 1533-position model. The record is from RNAcentral.